UGGUAAUGUGCGUGGUCGAUACACUACCUCGUUUAACGACCGGACCUCAUCAAUGGGCCAACGAACUCUCCACUCCAUAGGCCGGCCCAGACCACAGGGAAGCGAGCCGGCGGCUCCGGCUCGGGCGGAGCUGAGGGACGCAGCUGCUCCUGAGCGGUCCACACGAGCGCCGAGUAGCGCCGUCUGCCCGAUAGCUCACCGCCGUAGCUCAUGCACGGCGAGCACUGCCGAUGCGGAACAGUCGGGGAUCACGAGGCCGCAACGUAUUCUGAUGUGCUCAAACGACUGCGGUCACAGCUCAGACAGCCUUCGGCCCAGAUUUUCCGCCUCGAAACUCAAGAAGCUCGCUGCGUAUCGUGCCUGAGGUGAGCUGGGAUCUCUUCCUCUCAGCUAGGCUGCCAGCUCCGUAUGUGCCUUGAAUGGCCUCACCGUCUCAGCUUCCUCCGUCUGCGCAGCGUGCCUCAGCCGGUCCCAGAGCGCCGUGCUGCCUCAGCGGCUCACUGAGAGCCCCCGCCGUCCACCCGGCGCCCGCUGACCGAGCUGACUGGCGAGCGGCGACGACUGCUCGUGAACUGAGUCGCCGGCUCCGCUCCGGCCGCGGCGGGAAGCGCCCGUGUCGGUCCGCCGCCCGUACCGCGGCUAUUAGCGCCGGCUGGCUGACGGGGCCGCCCGUCAGCCGAGUGGAACCUCACGGUCACGAACGGGCUGAGUAUAGAGAGACAGUGUAGACCACGCCCGGUGUCGGGCAGCACGGCAGAGUACGAGGGCGGGUUGUGGUAAUGAAGGGGCGUGUGUGUGCUCUCAGCCAGAACUCCAUCUGAAAAUGUAGGAAUGAAUCAGGUUAAAUGAUAGGCGAGGAAAGAUCAGCUGGGGCAGCUCAGACACGAAGGCAAAGACGAGUCUACUUAGCUUCAUCUUCUCUCGAACAGUGCAGAGAACACGCGAUAUUUGGUGCAAAACGAAUACUCAUAGCCAUUAUUACACCUUCCUGACGAUAGGUCACUGCCGUUCACAUGCGAUACAAUAGCUAUUGCGUAACAGCGGACACAGCAGCACCAGGGGCACUUACCUUUCCAUCUCGAUUGUGUGGACCGUGAACGCACCUUGUUGCACGCACGAGCUGUCUUUAGACAAACAUCGGAACUAAAAAACAACGCAGUCGUGCAAAUGGCACUGCAUUCGUUUCGCAGUUUGCAUUCGUUCACAAUUAUUUCGCAAUGCCACGCCUUUCGGGCGUCACCCAGGCUGCAAAAUUUAUGAACUGAAUGCUUGAAAUCAAGUAUCCGUCGGGAACAAUUAGGCGACAGCAUUUCAAUGUCACAUGAUAGGGCAGUUAGGUACGUCACAACGUGUAACACUACGGAUUCCAAAUGCAAUAAUAAUUUGUGUUGAUUGUCACAUCGAUUGCAAUACAACCAGUAGAGCGCU
This is a long non-coding RNA of Amphibalanus amphitrite, 1428 nucleotides long. RefSeq lists it as uncharacterized. The transcript has 2 exons. The record is from RefSeq and is a predicted model, not a curated record. Lineage: Eukaryota; Metazoa; Arthropoda; Thecostraca; Balanomorpha; Balanidae.